UACAGAGGUCCCAAGCGUUGUUCGGAUUCACUGGGCGUAAAGGGUGCGUAGGUGGUGGGGUAAGUCGGAUGUGAAAGCUCGGAGCUCAACUCCGAAAUGGCAUUGGAAACUACCCUGCUAGAGGAUUGGAGGGGGGACUGGAAUACUUGGUGUAGCAGUGAAAUGCGUAGAUAUCAAGUGGAACACCAGUGGCGAAGGCGGCGACCUGGUCCAUUACUGACGCUGAGGCGCGACAGCGUGGGGAGCAAACAGG
Molecule: ribosomal RNA, 253 nt
Filed under: uncultured bacterium
Lineage: Bacteria
Description: partial 16S ribosomal RNA
Rfam family: Bacterial small subunit ribosomal RNA
Source: RNAcentral